Molecule: ribosomal RNA, 475 nt
Filed under: uncultured Diversispora
Lineage: Eukaryota; Fungi; Glomeromycota; Glomeromycetes; Diversisporales; Diversisporaceae
Description: SSU rRNA
Rfam family: Eukaryotic small subunit ribosomal RNA
Source: RNAcentral
AGCAGCCGCGGUAAUUCCAGCUCCAAUAGCGUAUAUUAAAGUUGUUGCAGUUAAAAAGCUCGUAGUUGAACUUCGGGGUUUACUCAUUGGUCAGGCUUAAUUGUCUGUACUGGUGAGAUGAAUCUCUACCUUCUGAGGAACUUUCAUGCCAUUUAUUUGGUGUGGUUGGAAAUCAGGACUGUUACUUUGAAAAAUUAGAGUGUUUAAAGCAGGCUAACGUCUGAAUACAUUAGCAUGGAAUAAUGAAAUAGGACGGAUUGAUUCUAUUUCGUUGGUUUCUAGGGUCACCGUAAUGAUUAAUAGGGAUAGUUGGGGGCAUUAGUAUUCAAUUGUCAGAGGUGAAAUUCUUGGAUUUAUUGAAGACUAACUACUGCGAAAGCAUUUGCCAAGGAUGUUUUCAUUAAUCAAGAACGAAAGUUAGGGGAUCGAAGACGAUCAGAUACCGUCGUAGUCUUAACCAUAAACUAUGCCGACU